CCCUCCCUCUCUCCCCACAGGGUUCUUCCCUCUCUCUCCCUGAGACAAAUGUUUUGCAAUUGCAUUAUCUUUGCUAUGAUAAUUACCCUCUGAGAGUCUGAUGUAGGUCAAGAGCCGGAUAGCCAGAGGAGAUCAUCUUUUUUUUUGCUGAAGUUUCUGAACCUUUCAAGAAAGCCUACUCUCCUACCUGGGAUCACGUCAGACCUUCAAUAUGAUGCUUUCACAGCCAUCUCCCAGCGUCUGUGACCUCCGCCUUCUCUGUUAUCUGAAUUAAUCCGGGACCACAGGGAGCCAGGCAAAGUCCUCCAAGCAGUGGCAUGCCACAGCUGGCUCCAGCUGUGUACGAAAGAUUUUGUGAGCUGUUUGAGAUCACAGAGGUACCCUGAAAUUGCCUUGAUGGGGCUGUUUACAGCAUGAAAAUCAACAAAUACUGCAAAUCCAACUUCUAGUAUCUCUCUGAACUGAGUGCGAAGCAUUCAUCGGCACACUAUAAUCCAUCAUUGCAUACCUGUGGCUUUUUUCUUAUGACACUGACUUAUUAAAGAGAACAGAUCAGUUGCUCUGUAGAAUGUGUUGCUUUCUACAUGUGUCUGACUGUGAUAGCCCACAUAUUUCCUAUAUACUGGAGGUUAUAUCAAAAGGCUAAAUAGAUUCAAGUUAAACAUUCCUGGCUUUUAAUUGUUUUAGAUAUAUAAUGUGAUUUUCCAAAAGACACAUAAUAUUUGGUUGACUCACCACUAAUGAUACUAACAUUGGCCUCUAGAUUAAAUUUAGUAAGAGCAAUUCAGUCCCUCCAUUGUAGAGUUAUGUUUUUC
This is a long non-coding RNA of Bos indicus x Bos taurus (hybrid cattle), 815 nucleotides long. NCBI's taxonomy places the organism in Eukaryota, Metazoa, Chordata, Mammalia, Artiodactyla, Bovidae. The record is from Ensembl.